UACGAAGGGGGCUAGCGUUGUUCGGAAUCACUGGGCGUAAAGCGCACGUAGGCGGAUCUUUAAGUCAGAGGUGAAAGCCUGGAGCUCAACUCCAGAACUGCCUUUGAUACUGGCGAUCUUGAGUCCGGGAGAGGUGAGUGGAACUGCGAGUGUAGAGGUGAAAUUCGUAGAUAUUCGCAAGAACACCAGUGGCGAAGGCGGCUCACUGGCCCGGUACUGACGCUGAGGUGCGAAAGCGUGGGGAGCAAACAGG
This 253-nucleotide ribosomal RNA is filed under the name uncultured bacterium. Its description in RNAcentral is "partial 16S ribosomal RNA". It matches the Rfam family "Bacterial small subunit ribosomal RNA", at positions 524 to 776 of the family's 1533-position model. The record is from RNAcentral.